Molecule: non-coding RNA, 403 nt
Filed under: Plasmodium gaboni
Lineage: Eukaryota; Apicomplexa; Aconoidasida; Haemosporida; Plasmodiidae
Source: RNAcentral
AGCUAUUAAUAGUAUUAUGAUAUACACAUAUAAGUAAAUACUUUUGUUUUGUUUUUUAAAUAAAUUAUAAUUUAUAUUAUGACUUUUUAAUUUGACACAUGAAUUAUAUUUAUGUGUAUGCUGAUUCUUUAAAUUUGAAAAUCCAUAAUAUAAAAUUAUAAUAUUAAUAUAUAUAUUAUAUAUAUAUAUAUAUAAUUUCAUGUAUCAUAAAUAUAUUUUAAUUCUUUACACAGGGAUUGCAUUGUUCAGCCCUAUUUUUUUUUUUUUUUUUUUUUUUUUUUUUUUAACUUUUAAUACUUUUUUUUAGUUUUUUUUUUUUUUUUUUUUUUUUUUUUUUUUUUUUUUUUUUUUUUUUUUUUUUUUUUUUUUUUUUUUUUUUUUUUUUUUUUUUUUUUUUUUUUUU